GUCGAUAUCCCUCCUACCGUCACGGCCCACCUCAGCAUUAUCACACCGAUGAGAACGAGAUCGGAGACGACAGCGACCAUGAAGAUCAUCCCAGGCGGAACAAGAAAAGCGGACAUAGCAUAAGCCCACUUCAGUCUCCCCAAAAAAGGAGGGGCACUUGGGACAGUGAGCGCCCCGCUCCCCCUCCCCCCAGAGUCAGUCCACCAUCAACCUCCUCUCAAGAGAAGGACUACGAUGGCACGUUCCUGAACAACCUGCUGGACCGCAAGGCUAAGUUGCGAGGGGUCAGCCAAGGGAAGAGCGGGGCCCGGGGCGAGGAGGAUUCGGACACGCCUUCCAAGGGCAGCUCGAAGAAGAGCGGCGGAGAGUCUGGUCGCCACUGCAGCCGCUCACCCAGCAACAGGCCCAAGGCGGAUUCGCUGCCUGCUUACUCCGACACAGAGCGAAGCAGAACGGACGGGCCGUGUCCACGGCCGCUGCCAGCAAACACUCGUUCCUCUCAGUCGCCUGCCCAUCUCCUGACCGGUCUCAGAGAGGAGCCCAGAGACAAGACCCGCAAAGUGAGCACUCUUCUCAGCCGGGACUCCCUCAUCGUCUGACGGACUGAGAGACUCACAAACUGGGCACUUAACUCUCUGCAGGAGCUGCAUGUCAGCAUGUUAUUUUAGAAAAUACCUUCAAUUGCAAAUAUAUGCAAUUGACAGUGCAGGAUGCUGAAUCAGCACCGACGGAAGAAGAAAUGGACAACAGAGACACUUUUACUAUUGAGACUGACACCGGGGAUUCUGCCUGUGACGUCGCCGAAGGAUGAAGUCAUCACUCUUCGGUUUCUGUCACCGGCUGCCUCAUAUGUACUGUAUAUAUAUCUCAGCCGGACUAACACAAAACUAGUGAGGGCUGGGUGCAGGCUAUGACCUGGACGCUGCUCAUCUCCUCCCGUCCCUUUAGAAAAGACUAGUUUACGCUUCCAGCACAAUGAGUGCAUUCAUUUCCACUUGAUGAGAUAUCGGCUUUAAAUAAG
This 1021-nucleotide long non-coding RNA is filed under the name Cyclopterus lumpus (lumpfish). Its description in RNAcentral is "lncRNA (ENSCLMG00005001041.1)". The record is from RNAcentral. Lineage: Eukaryota; Metazoa; Chordata; Actinopteri; Perciformes; Cyclopteridae.